GAUGAACGCUGGCGGCGUGCCUAAUACAUGCAAGUCGAGCGAACAGACGCGGAGCUUGCUCCUCUGACGUUAGCGGCGGACGGGUGAGCAACACGUGGAUAACCUACCUAUCAGACGGGGAUAACUUCGGGAAACCGGCGCUAAUACCGGAUAAUAUAUUGAACCGCAUGGUUCAAUAGUGAAAGACGGCUUUGCUGUCUGUUCUAGCUGGAUCCGCGCCGCAUUAUCUAGUUGUUAAGGUAACGGCUUUCCAAGGCAACCAUGCGUAGACGACCUGAGAGAGUGAUCGCCGACACGGGAAGUGAAACAGGGUCCAGACGCCUGCGGGACGGAGCAGUAGGGAAUCGUCGGCAGUGGGCGAGAGCCUGGCGGAGCAACGGCGAGUGAGUGAUGAAGGUCUUCGGAUCGUAAAACUCUGUUAUUAGGUAAGAACAAAUGUGUAAGUAACUAUAGACGUCGUGACGGUACCUAAUCAGAAAGCAACGGCUAACUACGUG
This 497-nucleotide ribosomal RNA is filed under the name uncultured bacterium. Its description in RNAcentral is "partial 16S ribosomal RNA". It matches the Rfam family "Bacterial small subunit ribosomal RNA", at positions 28 to 507 of the family's 1533-position model. The record is from RNAcentral.